RNAcentral lists this ribosomal RNA (253 nucleotides) under uncultured bacterium. RNAcentral's name for it is "partial 16S ribosomal RNA". It matches the Rfam family "Bacterial small subunit ribosomal RNA", at positions 524 to 776 of the family's 1533-position model. The record is from RNAcentral.
GACGUAGGGGGCGAGCGUUGUCCGGAUUUAUUGGGCGUAAAGCGUGCGUAGGCGGCUGCGCAAGUCGGGUGUGAAACCCCGGGGCUCAACCCCGGAACUGCAUCCGAUACUGCGUGGCUAGAGGUAGGUAGGGGAGAUCGGAAUUCCUGGUGUAGCGGUGAAAUGCGUAGAUAUCGGAAGGAACAUCAGUGGCGAAGGCGGCUUCCUGGACCAAUACUGACGAUCAGGUGCGAAAGCGUGGGGAGCAAACAGG